Molecule: small nucleolar RNA, 102 nt
Organism: Coffea eugenioides
Lineage: Eukaryota; Viridiplantae; Streptophyta; Magnoliopsida; Gentianales; Rubiaceae
Product: small nucleolar RNA R30/Z108
Exons: 1
Source: RefSeq, a predicted model, not a curated record
AAAGGAUGCGAUGAGGAUAGCAAAGCUCCCUCUUCUGAUUAAAAGUUGAGGACACUGCUGGCAGAAUCGAACCAAUCACUAAACAUUGCCAUCACUGAGUAA